RNAcentral lists this transfer RNA (69 nucleotides) under Sitta yunnanensis (Yunnan nuthatch). RNAcentral's name for it is "tRNA-Pro". It matches the Rfam family "tRNA". From Rfam's summary of the family: Transfer RNA (tRNA) molecules are approximately 80 nucleotides in length. Their secondary structure includes four short double-helical elements and three loops (D, anti-codon, and T loops). The record is from RNAcentral. Lineage: Eukaryota; Metazoa; Chordata; Aves; Passeriformes; Sittidae.
CAGAAGGUAGUUUAAUUAAAAUUCCAGCUUUGGGAGUUGGCGAUGAAGGUUUGAUUCCUUUCUUUCUGA